Arachis stenosperma is the source of this 252-nucleotide long non-coding RNA. RefSeq lists it as uncharacterized. The transcript has 4 exons. Lineage: Eukaryota; Viridiplantae; Streptophyta; Magnoliopsida; Fabales; Fabaceae. The record is from RefSeq and is a predicted model, not a curated record.
CCAGAAAAAGAAAGCAGAGGCAAGAGGAGCCAGAUUCUGAUUCAGAAUCUGAAUCUGAACCAAGUGAUGAGAGUGAAGAAUCAUCACCUGCGGAGAAGGAGAAGAAAAAGAAAAAAACAAAAACAACACCAAAAGAAACACAACAAGAAAAGAAAAAAGUUGUUGUGGAGGAUUCACCUCCUGAAGAAGAUCAAUACUUUGACGGUGAGAGAUAUGAAAUAUCAAGUGACGAAAUCGAUGAAUGGCUAAGGA